CUUUCAACAACGGAUCUCUUGGUUCCAGCAUCGAUGAAGAACGCAGCGAAAUGCGAUAAGUAAUGUGAAUUGCAGAAUUCAGUGAAUCAUCGAGUCUUUGAACGCACAUUGCGCCCCUCGGCAUUCCGGGGGG
Molecule: ribosomal RNA, 133 nt
Filed under: Lecidea aglaea
Lineage: Eukaryota; Fungi; Ascomycota; Lecanoromycetes; Lecideales; Lecideaceae
Description: 5.8S ribosomal RNA
Rfam family: 5.8S ribosomal RNA
About the family: 5.8S ribosomal RNA (5.8S rRNA) is a component of the large subunit of the eukaryotic ribosome.
Source: RNAcentral